AUUCUUUCCCCCCCAGGUCUCAAAUAUUGAGGCCUUUCUUCUCUCUGAGGGUGACAGCAAAGCUGCUGCCUCCCAGUUACAUCCCAGUUCUUUCCCCAUCACUCCUCCAGCUCUGUGGUUCCUCAGCCCCCUGGGUAGGAUAGUUUGGAGUGUCAGAAGGAGGGAAUGGACUUUCAUCUGGCCGCUCUACCUGACCAACCACCAACUCUUGCUCCUGUAUUCCUCUUUUCCAGCCUCACUUGUGGCCCCUGACCCCAAGGUUUGAGCCUCUGCACCUGCAGCCAUUGAAGUAGCACAGGAAAAGCUGGGCUGGGACUAUUGGCAGGUCUGGAUGGAAAACUGGGAUGGCCAGGACUUUGCAGUGGUUCUGCAAUGUCUCUGAUGAAGCAGCAAAGUUCUCCCACCAAUUAACCCCCAGCCCUUUGCCCCUGCCCUGGAGGGCACACACAGGGCGUGUGGGCACCACCCGCCUUUCUCUUUAUCUUAUCUUCACCUUUAUCUCCUUCCCAUCUCCUUGAAACACCAGCUCGGGAUGGGAAACUGCAGAAAUCU
This is a long non-coding RNA of Pipra filicauda (Wire-tailed manakin), 552 nucleotides long. RefSeq lists it as uncharacterized. The transcript has 3 exons. The record is from RefSeq and is a predicted model, not a curated record. Lineage: Eukaryota; Metazoa; Chordata; Aves; Passeriformes; Pipridae.